Molecule: long non-coding RNA, 1052 nt
Filed under: Mytilus galloprovincialis (Mediterranean mussel)
Lineage: Eukaryota; Metazoa; Mollusca; Bivalvia; Mytilida; Mytilidae
Source: RNAcentral
CUUUAACGGAAAGGAACAAAUGCAGGCUUAUGAUGCGUUUCCCUCAGUUUUAGUUUGUUACCCCGAUUUUGUUUUUUGUCCAUAGAUUUAUGACUUUUGAACAGCGGUAUACUACUGUUGCCUUUAUUUAGGGCUGUUCCAGAGUUUUUAAAAACACAUUUUUUUAGGGGGGGAUGUCAUCAGAGGCACAUUUGUAAAAUCCAUACUGUCCAUAAAAUAAAAAAAAUAUUUUACUUAAAACUUUUUACAAAAUGCAACCACCCGUGUUUAAAUAAUUGAGUGCCUCCCAUUUCCUGCCUAAUCAAUCUUGAUAAAUUUUUUAACAGAUUAUUUUUUGUAAAGUUUUGAUAGUUUCCAAUUGAACCAACGAGAAUCAUGUUAUCUGAUCAUAUUCACAUUGUAAUACCAAUUCCUUUUUGAGAAAGCAGCUAUUAAAAGCUAUUUGCAAUUGCACUAACAAUCACUUUUUUGAUUCUGUUCAUUGCUCAACCACAGUUAUUGAUCAGGGAAAAAGUUUAAUAAUGUGUUAAAUGAGAUACCUAUGGGUGAUGAUAAAAAUAAAUAGAUCCUCCCUUUUCUAUUCCAAGUUUAGAUGACUAUUUGGUGGAAAAUUUUGUUUUUUUCUUUUGUAUUGGCUUGUAUCAAGGUUAAACUAAGACAUAUAUAGAAAAUGUGACAACACAUGUUUUAUCCUUGAUAUAUGAACUCCUUUUGUUUAAGUGUUAUGACUACGGGAAAAGAUAGUUAAGAAUAAGAGCGCUCUAUAGUUGCUACUGAGAAAUGGGAAUUUUAUGUUCACAAGUUCAUUUUUAUCUGCGACUCAAUGUGGAAAGCCUUUAGUUUAGACAUUAAAAUUUGUGGGUAAACAGUAGCCAGUGAUGAAAAUGAGAUUGUAUUUAUUGUAUCAGAAGACAUAUAUAGUACUCCAGAUAGGAAAGUCGCAUUAAAGUCUUGUGUUUGUUUUGAUAUGAUUUCCCAAAAAACUUGUUAUAAACCAUACAAAAGAGUCAACACUCAUUACCAGAAAACUCAAAAUGUCAACAAUAUCGAGA